Molecule: ribosomal RNA, 466 nt
Filed under: uncultured bacterium
Lineage: Bacteria
Description: partial 16S ribosomal RNA
Rfam family: Bacterial small subunit ribosomal RNA
Source: RNAcentral
GAUGAACGCUGGCGGCGUGCUUAACACAUGCAAGUCGAACGAUGAAGCCCAGCUUGCUGGGUGGAUUAGUGGCGAACGGGUGAGUAACACGUGAGUAACCUGCCCUUAACUCUGGGAUAAGCCUGGGAAACUGGGUCUAAUACCGGAUAGGAGCGCCUACCGCAUGGUGGGUGUUGGAAAGAUUUAUCGGUUUUGGAUGGACUCGCGGCCUAUCAGCUUGUUGGUGAGGUAAUGGCUCACCAAGGCGACGACGGGAAGCCGGCCUGAGAGGGUGACCGGCCACACUGGGACUGAGACACGGCCCAGACUCCUACGGGAGGCAGCAGUGGGGAAUAUUGCACAAUGGGCGAAAGCCUGAUGCAGCGACGCCGCGUGAGGGAUGACGGCCUUCGGGUUGUAAACCUCUUUCAGUAGGGAAGAAGCGAAAGUGACGGUACCUGCAGAAGAAGCACCGGCUAACUACGUG